AUGGACAUGAGGACCCCUGCCCAGCUCUUGGGGCUCCUGCUGCUCUGGCUCCCAGGAGCCUGGUGUGACAUCCAGAUGACCCAGUCUCCCUCGUCACUCUCUGUGUCUCUAGGAGACACAGCCACCAUCACCUGCAGGGCCAGUGAGGACAUUGGGUACAUUUUAGCCUGGUACCAGCAGCAACCAGGGAAAGCUCCUAAACUCCUGAUCUAUGGUGCAGAUCAGUUGGAAUCAGGUGUCCCAUCCAGGUUCAGUGGCAGUGGAUAUGGGACUGAGUUCACUCUCACCAUCAGCAGCCUGCAGCCUGAAGAUCUUGCCACUUAUUACUGUCAACAAGCUUAUAAUGUUCCUCCCACAGUGAAACAAAUCAUAACAAAAACUCCCAGGGCAGCAGAAUUAAAUCUUUACAAGUCUGGUAUUGAAGGAAGACCUAUGGGAACCAAGAAGAUUGGAUCCAGUGCUGAUGUCAAGGUGACUCUGACUCCACUCUCCCUGCCUGUCUCCCUUGGAGAGCCGGCCUCCAUCUCCUGCAAGUCCAGUCAGAGCCUUCUGCCCCGCCAUGGCUGCAUCUAUUUAUACUGGUUCUUCUAUAAACCAGGGGAUGGCAAGGAAUUCCCUCAACAAGACGUAUCCAAGUCACAGGAAUCACACAAGCCAGACAGUGCCAUGGCCCCGAACGACAGCAUUUGA
Molecule: non-coding RNA, 690 nt
Organism: Perognathus longimembris pacificus (Pacific pocket mouse)
Lineage: Eukaryota; Metazoa; Chordata; Mammalia; Rodentia; Heteromyidae
Source: the annotation of a RefSeq genome assembly